UACGUAGGGUGCAAGCGUUGUCCGGAAUUAUUGGGCGUAAAGAGCUCGUAGGCGGUUUGUCGCGUCUGCUGUGAAAUCCCCGGGCUCAACCCGGGAACUGCGUCCGAUACUGGCAGGCUUGAAUCCGGGAGAGGGAUGCGGAAUUCCAGGUGUAGCGGUGAAAUGCGUAGAUAUCUGGAGGAACACCGGUGGCGAAGGCGGCAUCCUGGACCGGCAUUGACGCUGAGGCGCGAAAGCCAGGGGAGCAAACGGG
Molecule: ribosomal RNA, 253 nt
Filed under: uncultured bacterium
Lineage: Bacteria
Description: partial 16S ribosomal RNA
Rfam family: Bacterial small subunit ribosomal RNA
Source: RNAcentral